AGUGGCGAACGGGUGAGUAAUGUAUCGGAACGUACCUUUCAGUGGGGGAUAACGUAGCGAAAGUUACGCUAAUACCGCAUAUUCUGUGAGCAGGAAAGCAGGGGAUCGAAAGACCUUGCGCUGAUUGAGCGGCCGAUAUCAGAUUAGCUAGUUGGUGGGGUAAAGGCCUACCAAGGCGACGAUCUGUAGCGGGUCUGAGAGGAUGAUCCGCCACACUGGAACUGAGACACGGUCCAGACUCCUACGGGAGGCAGCAGUGGGGAAUUUUGGACAAUGGGGGCAACCCUGAUCCAGCCAUGCCGCGUGAGUGAAGAAGGCCUUCGGGUUGUAAAGCUCUUUCGGCCGGGAAGAAAUCGCAUAGGCUAAUACCCUGUGUGGAUGACGGUACCGGAAUAAGAAGCACCGGCUAACUACGUGCCAGCAGCCGCGGUAAUACGUAGGGUGCGAGCGUUAAUCGGAAUUACUGGGCGUAAAGCGUGCGCAGGCGGUUUCGUAAGACAGAGGUGAAAUCCCCGGGCUCAACCUGGGAACUGCCUUUGUGACUGCGAGGCUAGAGUACGGCAGAGGGGGGGUGGAAUUCCACGUGUAGCAGUGAAAUGCGUAGAGAUGUGGAGGAACACCGAUGGCGAACGCAGCCCCCUGGGCCGAUACUGACGCUCAUGCACGAAAGCGUGG
Molecule: ribosomal RNA, 675 nt
Filed under: uncultured Dechloromonas sp.
Lineage: Bacteria; Pseudomonadati; Pseudomonadota; Betaproteobacteria; Rhodocyclales; Azonexaceae
Description: bacterial SSU rRNA
Rfam family: Bacterial small subunit ribosomal RNA
Source: RNAcentral